GUUUUAGCUAGGAAUUUAUAUAGUUUGGAUCUCAGUGAUUUACCAUUGGAUAAGCUGAGUGAACAGAAACAAAAAAAGCACAAAGGGAAAGGAGUUGGACAUGAAUUUCAGAAAGUUUCAGUUGACAAGUCAUUUUCUAGAGGAUGGAGUCGUGAUCAGCCUGGCCAAGCCCCAAUGAGACAGAGGAGUGCAACAACCACUGGUUCUCCAGGAACCGAAAAGGCGAGGAGUAUAGUACGGCAAAAAACUGUCGAUAUUGAUGAUGCUCAAAUACUUCCCCGCUCAACUAGAGUCAGACAUUUUUCACAAAGUGAAGAAACUGGAAAUGAAGUUUUUGGUGCUUUGAAUGAGGAGCAGCCAUUGCCUCGAAGUAGCAGCACUUCUGACAUCUUGGAACCAUUCACUGUUGAACGAGCCAAAGGUGCAGUUCCUGUCAUUGACAGUUCAUCCCGUCAUGCACCAAGCUUGCAGAGUUCCACAGAGGCUUCUUCAAUAACUAGAUCCACUGAAAGCCACAUCACUGAUACUCAUAGUAGAGAGUCUUCUCUGGAAGUUGGUGAUAGCAUAUAUGACCAUCUUUGUCAUUUAAUAGGUCCAGUAGAACUUGCAGAUUCAGCUUUUGAACAAAUCCAGUACAUUGACCUUGAAGGAGAUGAUGAUCUUCUUUCCACCCUGAAAGAAUAUUUUAAGGAAAACCAGGAAAAUCAUAGUAAAAAUGAGACA
RNAcentral lists this non-coding RNA (723 nucleotides) under Pan troglodytes (chimpanzee). Lineage: Eukaryota; Metazoa; Chordata; Mammalia; Primates; Hominidae. RNAcentral also lists the same sequence under 1 other name. The record is from RNAcentral.